CAGCCGCCGCGGUAAUACCGGCGGCCCGAGUGGCGGUCACUAUUAUUGGGCUUAAAGCGUCCGUAGCCGGGUUGGGAAGUCCUCCGGGAAAUCUGGCCGCUUAACGGUCAGAAUGCCGGAGGAUACUCCCAGCCUAGGGAGCGGGGGAGGCCGAGGGUAUUCCCGGGGUAGGGGUGGAAUCCUAUAAUCCCGGGAGGACCACCUGUGGCGAAGGCGCUCGGCUGGAACGCGUCCGACGGGGAGGGACGAAGGCCAGGGGAGCAAACCGGAUUAGAUACCCGGGUAGUCCUGGCUGUAAACGAUGCGGACUUUGUGUCGGACAAGCUAUGAGCUUGUCCGGUGCCGGAGGGAAACCGUUAAGUCCGCCGCCUGGGGAGUACGGCCGCAAGGCUGAAACUUAAAGGAAUUGGCGGG
This 414-nucleotide ribosomal RNA is filed under the name uncultured microorganism. Its description in RNAcentral is "bacterial SSU rRNA". It matches the Rfam family "Archaeal small subunit ribosomal RNA", at positions 459 to 872 of the family's 1478-position model. The record is from RNAcentral.